This 2676-nucleotide long non-coding RNA is filed under the name Musa acuminata (dwarf banana). RNAcentral describes it as "long non-coding RNA (MACU_LNC002302)". Lineage: Eukaryota; Viridiplantae; Streptophyta; Magnoliopsida; Zingiberales; Musaceae. The record is from RNAcentral.
UUUUUUUUCUGUCAGGAGCUCCUCGUGAAAUUUUAAUCCAACACAAUAAUGGCUUCAAACAUUUGCAAGUUCCUCAGACAGAUAGUAACAUCCUGAUACCAUAUGGCUAUCCUACAGCCUUUCUGAAAGAGAAGGUUACCAAACCACCAUGUCACCAUUUAAGAAAGAAAGGAAGAAAUAAAAACACACAAAAAAAAUUAAUCUAUAAUUAUUUUUUAAUAACAUAAAAUAUAGUAUAUAAAUGGCUCUUGCCAAUGUAGGCUAAUAGAUCAAUUACUCAACCUUUACCUAUGGUCAUUACCCUAUAAAAUUCUUCUUCUUCUGGCAAUAUUUAACUUGUAUCCAAUAUUUUCCUUCUGCUGGCAAUCUCUCCCAGCUAAUUCACUCAACAAUUCUACAACAAUGUUGCCAGAAGCCAAAAUAUGAAUCUUGGACAUUAGCAGGUAAGGAAUACUUGUGUAUACCGGACAGGUUUAGGCUUUUAUAUAUCCAACCAGAAAUGAGACUGACAAUAUUUAACUUUUUUGGGAUAACAAAACACAAAGGUUAACCAUACUCUUGCAUCCAUCAGGAGGUGAGAUUAUAAAUAUUACAAGGACAACAAAAUAAUCUUCUAAGAGCCUUCUGGAAUUCCUCGGACAAGAAGUUGUUGGACUCCAAUAUAUGAUGGAAAAAGAGUUGGGCUGAGACGGAAUGGAUUUGUUAAGACUUUCUAUCCAAUUCUCAAAUUAUGAGAUAGAUGGUGAGGAUCUGAGUAAAAAUUCAGAAAACUAACUAGCUAUUCAUGGAAAAAGAGGUUCAUCAGCACUUGCUAUUAUAACACUCCAGAAGAAAUCUAGUACGAAGACAAAAGAAUCAGAAUAUGCAAACGAUGCUCCAGCCAACCAUAUAUCUUAAGAUAGUCAAAAGUAAUAUGAGGCCUAGUAUCACUAAUAUCAUGUUGUUCCUCUAUAUACUGUGGUACAUAGCUCCCAUUGAUGUUUGCCAUGUCAUACAGAGAAAGUACAGCAUCAGUUAAUUUUAAUUCGGAGGGAAAAAUGGAAGGAUGAGUAAUGAUUCCAAUGAUUAUUACUUUUCAGAAAAAGCAGCAAAUUUUGGAUUUACAGACAGGAUUUACAAAUACAAGGAUAUUUUCAAGAAAUGCUAAGUGUGCUUCUCUCCAUAUGUUAUUUACUGAAUAAUUUCUUGAUAUUUACAUAUUCAAGCAGCUUUUGCAUAAAUACCUAGUUCACAGGGUUGCCAGUUUCAGAGCUCUGGGUUCCUCUAAUGCGUCUUUAGUUUGUCGCCACUCAUUCAUCUCACUCUUUGCUCAAACCACUUAUUUGUUACUGGAACAUCUAUGUUACGGAAUAUCCAACAAUUCAGUAAGACUCCUAGUUCUUUGGUCUCCCAUUUUGCAUUCUCUUGUCCGUUGUUCACUUGGAGCUUUUGCUUUCUGUAUGGAGCACCUAAGAUAUAUUGCUCGUAAUGCAUCCAGGUCCGGUGUCCAUUUUCUAAUGACAGUGUGGGUCGGUUUCAUUAGAAUGGCACGCUCCCAAUUCUGACUAUUAUAGACCUAGCCAAUCUGGUUGAUAUCCAAACAGAAAAUAUGGAUAUCCUUCAAGCUAACACCAGAAUGAUAUUAGAAAAUUAACUCAAGGAGCUGAAUAGCUUGGACUACUUCGUAGUGCAUCCUUAUUGUCUUCACAGAUAGAAAUUAGAGAAGUGCUUGUGUGAAAUUUGAUAAAAAAAAAAAAAAAGGAGUUUAAAGGAACAUCAGAUCCUAGUUCUUUUGCCCUGAAUCUUUUGUUACAAAAGCACAAAAAGUUUACUAUUGCUGCACCUGAAAUGUUCUAAUUUCCUUCUAAAGCUUGUCACAUAGUAAAUGAGUAGUCUAUCACUUGCAGUGAGAGCUCUUUCAGUCUUUUGUUUGUUUUAAAGCAAUUAUCGUUCCUAGAGUAAUUUGUGUUGUUGCAAUUUGCAUCAUCAAACAUAUUAUGAAGUAUGACUGAUUGAUGAUGUGCAAAUUAAAAAUCAUGCCAUGGCACUUAUUGGCAAAUCUCUUUAUUUCACUUCAAGAAUCAGAAAAUGUGAAAAUGUAAUCCACCUGAUAACUAAGGUUUUGAAUUAGGUGGUACUCCACAUAUAGAUAUGAGCCAUUUUACUAGCAAAUCAAUUAGGUUCAGUGCCCACCUCAGCUAUGUCAGAUUUCCUCCCUGAAAAUAGUAUGCCGAGGUCCAACCACAAGUAUCAGAACUAUACUUCUUAUUAGCAGGCCGGCAGGCUUCAACACUACGAAGUGCUGCAGUGAGAAUAACGAAGGAUGCCUGCCAUAACACAGAUGAAGUGGACGAACCUCAUUCUUUAUCGACUGACUAACGAAACUCCUAGGGAGCAUGAGAAGUUGAGAAUUUGGAAUAUGAGGCAAUCAAUGGUGGAAGAGAUCCCCCAAGAAUUUGCACAAAAUCCAUUCUACGUUAUCUGACUGACAAAACUUCUAAGGUCCAUGAGUUAAGCUGAGAAUUUGUGGUAUGAAGUGUUCCAGUUGGUUCUAACCAUAAAAAUGUAUGUAGGAGUACCUAUGACGGAAUGAGAACCUUAAGAUACUCAGUGUUUGAGUUCAGGCAACACAAUUACUAGUUAGCUCGUCCAUCAAUCGAAAGAGCACUUUAGAAAUCAUAAUUAUACACCAUAAUC